GAUGAACGCUGGCGGCGUGCCUAAUACAUGCCAGUCGAGCGAACGGACGAGAAGCUUGCUUCUCUGAUGUUAGCGGCGGACGGGUGAGUAACACGUGGAUAACCUACCUAUAAGACUGGGAUAACUUCGGGAAACCGGAGCUAAUACCGGAUAAUAUUUUGAACCGCAUGGUUCAAAAGUGAAAGACGGUCUUGCUGUCACUUAUAGAUGGAUCCGCGCUGCAUUAGCUAGUUGGUAAGGUAACGGCUUACCAAGGCAACGAUGCAUAGCCGACCUGAGAGGGUGAUCGGCCACACUGGAACUGAGACACGGUCCAGACUCCUACGGGAGGCAGCAGUAGGGAAUCUUCCGCAAUGGGCGAAAGCCUGACGGAGCAACGCCGCGUGAGUGAUGAAGGUCUUCGGAUCGUAAAACUCUGUCAUUAGGGAAGAACAUAUGUGUAAGUAACUGUGCACAUCUUGACGGUACCUAAUCAGAAAGCCACGGCUAACUACGUG
This 497-nucleotide ribosomal RNA is filed under the name uncultured bacterium. Its description in RNAcentral is "partial 16S ribosomal RNA". It matches the Rfam family "Bacterial small subunit ribosomal RNA", at positions 28 to 507 of the family's 1533-position model. The record is from RNAcentral.